UCUAAAAUGGCAGAUUAGUGCAAUGAAUUUAAGAUUCAUAAAUAAAAUUUUUAAAUUUUUUUUAGAA
Molecule: transfer RNA, 67 nt
Filed under: Pholetesor sp. SNS-2016
Lineage: Eukaryota; Metazoa; Arthropoda; Insecta; Hymenoptera; Braconidae
Description: tRNA-Leu
Source: RNAcentral